UACAUGGGGUGCAAACGUUGCUCGGAAUUAUUGGGCGUAAAGCGCGCGUAGGCGGUUACUCAAGUCGGAUGUGAAAGCCCUCGGCUUAACUGAGGAAGUGCACCCGAAACUGAGUAGCUAGAGUACUAAAGAGGGUCGCGGAAUUCCCGGUGUAGAGGUGAAAUUCGUAGAUAUCGGGAGGAACACCAGUGGCGAAGGCGGCGACCUGGACGGACACUGACGCUGAGACGCGAAAGCGUGGGGAGCAAACAGG
This 253-nucleotide ribosomal RNA is filed under the name uncultured bacterium. RNAcentral's name for it is "partial 16S ribosomal RNA". It matches the Rfam family "Bacterial small subunit ribosomal RNA", at positions 524 to 776 of the family's 1533-position model. The record is from RNAcentral.